RNAcentral lists this ribosomal RNA (709 nucleotides) under Burkholderia sp. LIG2AAB. Its description in RNAcentral is "bacterial SSU rRNA". It matches the Rfam family "Bacterial small subunit ribosomal RNA", at positions 19 to 721 of the family's 1533-position model. Lineage: Bacteria; Pseudomonadati; Pseudomonadota; Betaproteobacteria; Burkholderiales; Burkholderiaceae. The record is from RNAcentral.
CUGGCUCAGAUUGAACGCUGGCGGCAUGCCUUACACAUGCAAGUCGAACGGCAGCACGGGUGCUUGCACCUGGUGGCGAGUGGCGAACGGGUGAGUAAUACAUCGGAACAUGUCCUGUAGUGGGGGAUAGCCCGGCGAAAGCCGGAUUAAUACCGCAUACGAUCUACGGAUGAAAGCGGGGGACCUUCGGGCCUCGCGCUAUAGGGUUGGCCGAUGGCUGAUUAGCUAGUUGGUGGGGUAAAGGCCUACCAAGGCGACGAUCAGUAGCUGGUCUGAGAGGACGACCAGCCACACUGGGACUGAGACACGGCCCAGACUCCUACGGGAGGCAGCAGUGGGGAAUUUUGGACAAUGGGCGAAAGCCUGAUCCAGCAAUGCCGCGUGUGUGAAGAAGGCCUUCGGGUUGUAAAGCACUUUUGUCCGGAAAGAAAUCCUUGAUUCUAAUACAGUCGGGGGAUGACGGUACCGGAAGAAUAAGCACCGGCUAACUACGUGCCAGCAGCCGCGGUAAUACGUAGGGUGCAAGCGUUAAUCGGAAUUACUGGGCGUAAAGCGUGCGCAGGCGGUUUGCUAAGACCGAUGUGAAAUCCCCGGGCUCAACCUGGGAACUGCAUUGGUGACUGGCAAGCUAGAGUAUGGCAGAGGGGGGUAGAAUUCCACGUGUAGCAGUGAAAUGCGUAGAGAUGUGGAGGAAUACCGAUGGCGAAGG